GUAAGCCUAACUAUAUUAAUAUCAAGAAUGAAUUUAUUAAUGAAGAUCAGGUUUCUAAACCUAAAAAAAGAAAGAGGAGCUCGUAUGAGGCAAAGAUUCUUGGCCUCAAACAAUCCUACUCGGGGCCGCUGUGGACGAGUCAAGGUUCCAAGGAAUGGCUGAGCUCAGCAGAUGACGUGGCUUUCAACGACACAGAAGCAGAAGACUAUGUCAGCAUCACCGACUUCCUAGAAUGUUCACUGGACGACAAUGAAGACUGCACUGCUUCUCAAA
Molecule: long non-coding RNA, 273 nt
Organism: Hyalella azteca
Lineage: Eukaryota; Metazoa; Arthropoda; Malacostraca; Amphipoda; Hyalellidae
Exons: 3
Source: RefSeq, a predicted model, not a curated record